GGAUGAACUUCCCGGAGCUGGCUGGCAGCUGUGAGUUCUGCAGGAGCAGCCCCCUGGCCCCAGAAAUGCAAUAAAAUGAGAACACGCCUCAUGUUGCAGGGGGCUGUCUGUCAUCCUGGAGUUUCAAUGUUUCAGAAUCGCAGCGACCACAGCUUUUGGGAGGAAAGAUCACAGGUCCAUGGUGUUCAGCAUGGUUUUCUCAGCAAGGAUCCCGACCAGUAGGAGCUGCUCAGAAGUGUAUGUCCUGCCCACCCCGCCCCUUCCAGGGCCCCCUGCAUUAGACACUGCAGUUGGGGGCCAGCAGCUGACCCCUGACAAGCCCUCCAGGGAAUAAUUCAUCGCGUGUGCCCUGCACGGCUGGGAGAGAGCUGGGGAAGUGGCCAUGUGAGAGGCUCAGCUACCGGUUUUCUUCCCUUACAGCCCGGCUGCCAUGGGCUAGGAUCACCUUUCUCUGCAUCGUCUUAACUAAGGUCAGCCCUGGUGUCUGUUCAAACGAUAAACGCUCGGUCCCCUUGACCUUCAGGAAUCUAUCCUGGUACAAACGAAAUGGCCAGAAUGCUAGGAUAUGUGUGCCAAGAUAUUUAUUGGUGUGUCGUCUGCCCUGGCAAUAAUUGGAAACAUUACUUUACCAAUAGGUGAAUAAUAGAAUCAAUUCUGGCACAUUCAGUAUUAUGGAACAUCAUGGGUCAUUACGAAG
This is a long non-coding RNA of Herpailurus yagouaroundi (jaguarundi), 697 nucleotides long. RefSeq lists it as uncharacterized. The record is from RefSeq and is a predicted model, not a curated record. The transcript has 3 exons. Lineage: Eukaryota; Metazoa; Chordata; Mammalia; Carnivora; Felidae.